This 1499-nucleotide ribosomal RNA is filed under the name metagenome. RNAcentral describes it as "bacterial SSU rRNA". It matches the Rfam family "Bacterial small subunit ribosomal RNA". The record is from RNAcentral.
GAGUUUGAUCAUGGCUCAGAUUGAACGCUGGCGGCAGGCCUAACACAUGCAAGUCGAACGGUAACAGGAAGCAGCUUGCUGCUUCGCUGACGAGUGGCGGACGGGUGAGUAAUGUCUGGGAAGCUGCCUGAUGGAGGGGGAUAACUACUGGAAACGGUAGCUAAUACCGCAUAAUGUCGCAAGACCAAAGAGGGGGACCUUCGGGCCUCUUGCCAUCGGAUGUGCCCAGAUGGGAUUAGCUUGUUGGUGGGGUAACGGCUCACCAAGGCGACGAUCCCUAGCUGGUCUGAGAGGAUGACCAGCCACACUGGAACUGAGACACGGUCCAGACUCCUACGGGAGGCAGCAGUGGGGAAUAUUGCACAAUGGGCGCAAGCCUGAUGCAGCCAUGCCGCGUGUAUGAAGAAGGCCUUCGGGUUGUAAAGUACUUUCAGCGGGGAGGAAGGGAGUAAAGUUAAUACCUUUGCUCAUUGACGUUACCCGCAGAAGAAGCACCGGCUAACUCCGUGCCAGCAGCCGCGGUAAUACGGAGGGUGCAAGCGUUAAUCGGAAUUACUGGGCGUAAAGCGCACGCAGGCGGUUUGUUAAGUCAGAUGUGAAAUCCCCGGGCUCAACCUGGGAACUGCAUCUGAUACUGGCAAGCUUGAGUCUCGUAGAGGGGGGUAGAAUUCCAGGUGUAGCGGUGAAAUGCGUAGAGAUCUGGAGGAAUACCGGUGGCGAAGGCGGCCCCCUGGACGAAGACUGACGCUCAGGUGCGAAAGCGUGGGGAGCAAACAGGAUUAGAUACCCUGGUAGUCCACGCCGUAAACGAUGUCGACUUGGAGGUUGUGCCCUUGAGGCGUGGCUUCCGGAGCUAACGCGUUAAGUCGACCGCCUGGGGAGUACGGCCGCAAGGUUAAAACUCAAAUGAAUUGACGGGGGCCCGCACAAGCGGUGGAGCAUGUGGUUUAAUUCGAUGCAACGCGAAGAACCUUACCUGGUCUUGACAUCCACGGAAGUUUUCAGAGAUGAGAAUGUGCCUUCGGGAACCGUGAGACAGGUGCUGCAUGGCUGUCGUCAGCUCGUGUUGUGAAAUGUUGGGUUAAGUCCCGCAACGAGCGCAACCCUUAUCCUUUGUUGCCAGCGGUCCGGCCGGGAACUCAAAGGAGACUGCCAGUGAUAAACUGGAGGAAGGUGGGGAUGACGUCAAGUCAUCAUGGCCCUUACGACCAGGGCUACACUCGUGCUACAAUGGCGCAUACAAAGAGAAGCGACCUCGCGAGAGCAAGCGGACCUCAUAAAGUGCGUCGUAGUCCGGAUUGGAGUCUGCAACUCGACUCCAUGAAGUCGGAAUCGCUAGUAAUCGUGGAUCAGAAUGCCACGGUGAAUACGUUCCCGGGCCUUGUACACACCGCCCGUCACACCAUGGGAGUGGGUUGCAAAAGAAGUAGGUAGCUUAACCUUCGGGAGGGCACUUACCACUUUGUGAUUCAUGACUGGGGUGAAGUCGUAACAAGGUA